UUUUUUUUUUUUUUUUUUUUUUUUUUUUUUUUGAGAUUUGACAAAACCACCGCUGCAAGUCUGAAAA
RNAcentral lists this non-coding RNA (67 nucleotides) under Alexandrium minutum. The record is from RNAcentral. Lineage: Eukaryota; Dinophyceae; Gonyaulacales; Pyrocystaceae.